RNAcentral lists this small RNA (288 nucleotides) under Corynebacterium ureicelerivorans. RNAcentral describes it as "5' ureB small RNA". It matches the Rfam family "5' ureB small RNA". The record is from Rfam by way of RNAcentral. Lineage: Bacteria; Bacillati; Actinomycetota; Actinomycetes; Mycobacteriales; Corynebacteriaceae.
CGUGCCUGCUCCGGGGAAAUGAAGUGGAUGUGGGUAUCGAUCGCACCAGCGGUGACGAUCUUGCCCUCACCAGCGAUAACCUCAGUGCUCACGCCGAUAACGAUGUCGAUGUCGUCCUGGACGUCCGGGUUACCGGCGGUACCGAUCUUGAUGAUCUUGCCGUCCUUGAUGGCGAUGUCAGCGACGUAGAUACCGGUGUAGUCGAUGAUCAGCGGGCCGGUGAUGACAACAUCGGGAACCUCUUCGUCGCCUACCCAGCGGCUGUUCUGGCCCAUGCCGUCGCGGAUG